Molecule: ribosomal RNA, 465 nt
Filed under: uncultured bacterium
Lineage: Bacteria
Description: partial 16S ribosomal RNA
Rfam family: Bacterial small subunit ribosomal RNA
Source: RNAcentral
GACGAACGCUGGCGGCGUGCUUAACACAUGCAAGUCGAACGGAAAGGCCCCUUUUGGGGUACUCGAGUGGCGCACGGGUGAGUAACACGUGAGUAACCUGCCCUUGACUUCGGGAUAACUUCAGGAAACUGGGGCUAAUACCGGCUAGGAAUCCUUGCUGCAUGGUGGGGGUUGGAAAGCUUCGGCGGUUUUGGAUGGACUCGCGGCUGAUCAGCUUGUUGGUGGGGUAGUGGCUUACCAAGGCUUUGACGGGUAGCCGGCCUGAGAGGGCGACCGGCCACAUUGGGACUGAGAUACGGCCCAGACUCCUACGGGAGGCAGAAGUGGGGAAUAGUGCACAAUGGGCGGAAGCCUGAUGCAGCAACGCCGCGUGCGGGAUGACGGCCUUCGGGUUGUAAACCGCUUUCAGCAGGGGCGAAGCUUGUGGUGACGGUACCUGCAGAAGAAGCACCGGCUAACUACGUG